AACGUGCCAUUUUUUUUUUUUUUUUCAACCUGGCCCACGCGACGUACAGACCCGCCACAAAUACAAAGUUCCUCUGUCCACUCGGGCAGAGUCUCCUUUGUAUUUGCACGGCGUACCAACGAUACAACAGGAUCACAACCACAACCUACAUUUACCAAUCAACAACCCAAGCAUGAUAUGCAUUUUCAUACAGCUAACAAUUCUUAGAAUGAUGCAUGCCUCUAAGCACUCCUUAGGCGCUGGAUGAUGCAAUGCACAGUACAACAAUCAUCCUAUUUAAAAGUGCUCCCCACACGGAAGCUUUUGUUUUUAAACUCUAUUUCAUUCAUUCAUAAAAACCAUUCGAAAACAUUNAUUAUUUUUAUAUAAUUUUUAUUUAAUUAAUAAUUAGACUUAUAAAACUAUAUAAAAAUAUUAAAAAAAAUAAAAUUUAUUAUAAAAAUAUUUUUAUAACCGUAGUAUCGCGCAGGUAUUUCAGUAGUCUACCAUAAUACGAUGGUAAGCGGACAUCUACCAUCGAACGAAGAAGACGUUCAUGAGAGAGAGAGAGAGAGAGAGAGAGAGAGAAAAUAGCUACAUUUAGGAUAGGUCAAAUUGCCCCUAAUAAAUGUUUAGGGGCAAUUUGGUCAUUAUGAAAAAUAUAACUUAUCGGCUUGAAGACCGCUUCGUAUUGGGGCCCAUUGGGGCCCAUUUUUCGCUAGUCAGCAAAAUAAAAUUUGGACAACAGUAAUUAAAUAGACAAAUAAUUCUCUAUAUUUUACUAGUGGAUUUGACUCAUCAUGACAUAUAGAAUGUGAUAUGAUAUAUGAACACAUAAAUUAUAUUUUUAUCAUACUUUUUUGUCGCAUUUAUAAAGUAAUUUGUCUGUAAUGCGUAAAGUAGUCCAUACUGCAAAAGCUUUCGGGUUAGAGAUUUUAUGAUUAAAAUUUUAGCUGCAAUUUACGGCUUCUUUUAUAUGGCACAAUAAAAUACCAGACACGGGCGGUGUCGAAAAAUACACUGUUCGACAGAGUAAAGACUUGGCAAAAUGAGGAUGGCACUAAGGGUGCGUUUGGUUCGCGCUAUUUUUUUAAGAUUUUUAGUAAUAUAAUGGGAAUAAGAAAAUAUGACGGUGUUUGGUUAAAGGCACUAAGUAAUCUAGUUGGUAAUAUUAGAUUCACUUGGGAAUGAGAUUCAUCCUAAUGUACUAAUCUCAUUCCCUUGCGGGAGAGUGGUAUCCUCGUAUUAAGGAAUUGGGUAAUUAUAAUAUGUCUAAUCUCUUUCUUUCUCCUUACCCGCAGACUAGUUAGUAUUAUUAUCUUUUACACUCUAACAUCAUAUCUCUCUCUAAACUUAUCUUUUUCUCUCUAAACUUCAACUCUUUUUCUCUCUCUAAACUAAGCUCUCUCUUUCCCUCUUUUCUUAAAAUUUCAACUCUCACACUCCCUCUAAUCUCGACUCUAUUUCUCUUCCUAUUAUUUAAUUAUGCUCUCUCUCUCUAACCUAUAUUUUCUCUCUAUUUUUUCUAAAAAAAUGUUGAAAUUUUUUGUAGCAUUAUCUAAAAUUUAUUAAAAAAAAUUAAUUAAUUAAUUGUAUAUUUUUUGUAAACUUAAAUAACAUGACUAAAUAAUAUGACCGUGCGAACCAAACACAUGAAUGCCACAUUCUUAGUAAUAGGAUGAAUAGCAAUAAGAUUCUCGGAUAUUUUUUUACUCAUAGUAAUCUUUCAUAAUACGAACCAAACAUGCCCUAAGGGUGCAUUUGGUUCGCACUAUCUUUUUAAGAUUCCUAGUAAUGCAAUGGGAAUAAAAAAAUAUGACGGUGUUUGGCUAAAGGCGCUAAGUAAUCUAGUUGGUAAUAUUAGAUUCACUUGGGAAUGAGAUUCAUCCCAAUGUACUAAUCUCAUUCCCUUGCGGGAGAGUGGGCAUCCUCAUAUUAAUGAAUUGGGUAAUCAUAAUAUGUCUAAUCUUUUUCUUUCUCCCUACCCGCAGGCUAGUUAGUAUUAUUAUCUUUUACACUCUAACAUCAUAUCUCUUUCUAAACUUAUCUUUUUCUCUCUAAACUUCAACUCUUUUUCUCUCUCUAAACUAAGCUCUCUCUUUCCCUCUUUUUCUAAAAUUUCAACUCUCACGCUCCCUCUAAUCUCGACUCUAUUUCUCUUCCUAUUAUUUAAUUAUGCUCUCUCUCUCUAACCUAUAUUUUCUCUCCAUUUUUUCUAAAAAGAUGUUGAAAUUUUGGUAGCAUUAUCUAAAAUUUAUUAAAAAAAAAAUAAAUUAAUUAAUUGUAUAUUUUUUGUAAACUUAAAUAACAUGACUAAAUAAUAUGACCGUGCGAACCAAUCACAUGAAUGCCACAUUCUUAGUAAUAGGAUAAAUAGAAAUAAGAUUCUCGAAUAUCUUUUUACUCCUAGUAAUCUUUCAUAGUGCGAACCAAACGUGCCCUAAAGUUUAAAAGACUAUUAUUUGUCAAUAUUAUAGCAGGAUUUGUUAUAUGAUUUUCUACCAAAGCAAUAUAUUUAUGUGUAAUCUACUAUGCUCCCAAAGUGGUGUGGAUGAUUUUCACUUUUUUACAUUUUCAUCGAAAAUGGUAGAGUUUGAAUGAUAAUGAUUUUUUAAAAAAUUUAGUGGUUUUUAUGAAAAAUAAUAUUAAUUUAAAAAUUAACAAUGAUCAAAAUGGUUGAUCUAAAUAUUAAAAAAUUAAAAACACUGCAUGAAUGAUGUUUUCGAAAAUACUAUAGCCGGACCCUAUAUUUUUUUGGACUUUUUUUAUAUUUAAUCCCCUCAAAAAAUAUUUACAAAUAAUCACAUAAAAUUUAUUUUUACAAGAUUGAUCAUGUUCCGGCCACGCAAGCACCACGCGGGCGUGAUUGAUCGUAGGUUAAAUUUAAUAUGAUGAACUAUUUACCAUACUUAGAUAUGGUGAAUGAUUUAUCGUGUCCUUUUAAUACAUAUUAUUUAAAAGGACACGGUGAAUUAUUUUCUUAUUAGUUUUUAAGUAAUAUAUAUCAAAAGAAUAUAUACGAUGAAUAAUUUACAGUGUUCAAUUUAACCUCACUGUCACACCCACGUGACACUCGCGUGAUGCCUAUAUGGCCGGGAUAAAGCUAAUCUUACUAAUAUAAAUUUUAUGAAACUAUUUGUGAGAAAAAAAAAAUUGAAAGAGUUAAAUGCAAAAAAAAGAAAAAAAAAAAAAGAAAAAAAAAAAAGAGCCCAUAUUUUUGUAGCCAUUUACAAUUUUUUUAACAUAUAUUUUUCAUAUGUGACUAAUAAACGUACGCUGCGACGGAGGGUUAAAAAGUUGCAACGACUUACGCAUUGGAGACCUGGCAUUUCCAUAGCUAAAUAUCCGUCCAUAUCAAGAACUAUACGUGCAAUUAAACCAGCUAGGUAGGAGCCCGGAAGGCGGGCUUUUGAUUAUCGGGUUGCUCUCGAAGAAGUUGAAAGGCCGAAGCUCGAAUCCCCCGGUUAACAGCGGCAUCAACGGAAAAUCUUCCUGGCAGGGGAUGUGGUGAAAUCCGACUGUGUACCACAACACAAUAUCCGUGUUCUUGAUCAAGCGAUUCCUGGUUAACCAAGAGAGAUCUUGAGAUGAGCCAUCAUUUUUAUUUGGAGAAAGCUUUAGUUCAAGAAAACUACUCCUUACAUAAGAAUAAGCCAGUUUGAUCGCUAACCUUUGGGUCCAUACGGCCAAGCCAUCAUCUCCUCUGCUCUGGUCGACGUAAAGCCCGGCGGCCCACUUCUCGGACUUGUUGUAGGCCGUCACCCACACCUGCUUCUUGGUGAAGCUGGCCCGGCGCUGCGGAUAGUCGUCAUCCGUCAUCAACGAGCCUGCAGUCCCCGCGCCGCUGAUCAGCCGGUACCCCACAUCGUUCCCCAUCUUCGUCUUCUUGCUCGGAUUCACGAUCAGCAGCUCUAUAGGUUCUUUUCCCACGUCAACCUGUGCAUCGGCCUCUGUCUCUGCUGUCUCUUUUACGACCGUCCAAUAGCUCUUCCGAGGGGAGUCGGACGAGGCCAACCUCACCGUCUUGAGCUUGGACUUGACGAAGGAGUUGUCGGUGCCGUCGAUGUCAAGGUCGAGAUAGUAAGUGAUGAAGUGGUCGUGGUAGACCGCGAUGGUGUUCUCAGCCAACAGACUGCCGUGGGGAUCGCCGGUUAUUUGGUCUGCAUGGGUGUAGGAUGAACCCUUCACUUCAAGGAGGCCUGUCAGUGCUACCUGUAUGAGGCAAGAAAGAGAAAUCAUGUAAAUUCUGUCCAGCAGAAAGUCAGCUGCUUCGAAUUGAACUAAUUUGUUAAGUUGAAUGAAUUCGUAUCUUCAUAUUGGAAUAAAAUAUGAUUAAAUUGAUUUUUCAUUGUUUACAUUUUUUAAUUAUUAUUCUUGGUUUUCCUAUGGACUUUGUAGCCAUUGGUAGUUAAAGAGCCCAAUCUGCAUAAAAAUUCAUUGAUUUUGAGUUUUUGUAAAAAUAAUCUGUCUUUUUAGAUUUUAUAGAUUGUAUACGAAUUUGACCAAAAUAUUCUUAUUCUUCUUUCUCUUUCUUUUUUUUUCACGCUCAUCUUUUUUUCGUACGGUUCGUUUUCUUCCUCCUUGCCGUUUCUCCUUUUUUCUUCUCCCACUCUCUCCUUUCUUUUGCUCCACCACCCCGACGUCAAAGUGCUCCUCUCUCUUACUUUGCUCGCCUCUCCGCUGAUCGAUGCCGGCUCGGAUAUGGCAUAAUUUACGAUAUGGUGGAAUUAUGGCCGCAGACGGUGACAGUGACAACGACGAGAGUGUCGCAAGUUUUGAGGACGAUGGAGAGAGAGAGCGCGUCGGGACGGAGGCGGUGGCAGCUGCGGCAAAGGACGAGGAAGGAGGUGUGAUAACAGAAAGUGACAUAGAGGGUGAAAGAAAAAAUAAAAAAAAAAAAGUUUUUUCUCCUAAAAAAAAUCAUUGUGUUAUAACUGUUAAAAGCAAACAAAAGAAAAAAUAAAUAAAUUUAUACUGUUUGAGAUCAAAGUUGCAUUAUUCGAGAAUAAGUCGUACUAUUUGAGACAAAAUUACACCAUACAAAAAUAAGUUGUACUAUUUUUGGACUAAACACUGUUUGAUAUUAAAUUGUACUAAUUGAGAGAAAAAAAAAAAGGAGAGAAGAAGAGGAUAAAUUGUACUGUUUGAGACGAAAGUUAUACUAAUAGGCAGUGUUUGGUCCAGAAAUAAAGGGGAAAUAAGCCCUUGUUCCCUUCUUCUUUCCCAAACGUCGCGUUUAGUAUCCGAGAACAGCCGGUAUAAAGCUGGAACUGAUGUUCCAUCUUUUUUCUUAAAACAAGCUUGUUCCUAAGUGGGAACAAGAUUAAUUAAAGUCUAAAUUUAGUUUUACUUAUGGUAUUAAAUUAUUAAUUAAUUUAAUUAAUAUAUUUAAAUCAUUAUUUUUUACUUAAAUAAUAAAAUAAUUAAUUAAAUUAUUAUUUAUAAUUAAUUAUUAAUAAUUUAAUAUAUUUAUCUAUAAACUAAUAUUUACAUUGUUUCUAUCAAUCUAAUUAAAAUGAUAUCGAAAAAUCAUUUUUAUAGGAUUUUUAUUUUCAGCCGUUAAAAAUUAUAGAUUUUGAAUCCUUUCGAUUGCCAGGUAAGUGAUAUUGAAAAAUCGCAAAAAUUAUUUUCUAGAAACUUCAAAUAUGCUAAAUCAAGUCUAACGGAGCCGAUCACCGAUUUGGAAAUUCCAUCAUGGAAAAUGGCUCAGUAGCACGGAGGCCAUCGUGCUCCUGAGAGCACAGCAGUCCUCUAUAUAUAUAUAUAUAUAUAUAUAUAUAUAUAUAUAUAUCUCAAGAUCAUCUUGUAUGANUGUUAGAACUUUACUCGCUCUGAUAUCAUUAGUUGCUUGUUAUCUCACUUCUCUUAUUUGUUCCAUCUCUUGCUUUUACUUUCGCUUUUCUUGUAGACGCCUUAUAUGUGUAGACAUAUGGCGGGUCUGGGCACGCUACCGGGAGGGCCUCUGCCGGUCCCGGGGCGUGACAUGUAUCCACUCAAGAUUGCUCCGAGAUCCGUAUUUUACACAAUCACAGUGUAGUUUCGAAACUCCUUUCGUAAUUUCUUGUGUCAAUAUAGAAAAAAUUAAUCCUUAAAUUAUGCUAGCAAUUUCAAAAGAAUUACCUAUAAUAUAGAAAUCAAUUAUUAUAAGAGAAUCUCUCUCUUAUAAUUAAAAGAGAGCUUUAUAUAAAGUCUUCCUUCUUUCACACUUCACUUUGUGUUCCACUUCUUGAGGGAGAUUACUCUCUUCUUUUUAUAGGCCUAAAAGCCAUUAGGCGGAGAGUAAGCUCCUCUAGUUGUUACAAAGAGAAUGGACAACCACCAUAAAUGAGAGGAAAUGAACUCCUCUCAUUUAAUAGAUGAAACAGAGAAAAAAAAAAAAAGAGAAGGAAGAACGAGAAGGGAGUUUUCUUUUCCAAUUAAUUAACUAUAUCAUUAAUAGGGUGAGUCACUACAACAGAAUUAGGUUAUAGGGACACAUGUUUGGGACACUUUUGAGUAAGUGUCCCAUUUAUGCUAAAACUUAAAAAAAAAUAUCUACUAAUGCCUAAAUAUAAAGCCCAAUCCAAUCAAAAAUAAAAGAUUACUCUACUCAACCCACCACACCCAGUCCAUUUGGCCCGAUUACAAACAGAAAAGAAAAAAAAAAGAAAAAUCAAUUACCAUCUUUUCUUCUCUCUUCAUUCAAUCCACUGAAAUUCUAGACGAAGAGCCUUUCCUGUCGUUCUCCUCCGCCACCGCAGCCAACGAGAUAGAGUUUCGGCGGUUGCUAAAUGCUUAAAUAAGUGUUGGUAAAUUAGCAGCACUCUUUUAGGUUAUAGCGACACUCUUUAACUGUCACUAUACACCUAGCGACCCCACAUAUAGCAACACUUUUUAAAAGUGUCGGUAAUUUUAGCUAGCAGCACUUUUUUGAUAUUUACCUAUAUUUAAAAGUGUCGGUAUAAACCAUUUUUGUUGUAGUGAGUGAAUGCAUGAAUUUACUUUUCAUUCUCCCUCACUCAUUUUCAUCACUUUGUAACUCCUCCAUUAAUAUUUAUUAAUUGAGAAGUUGAUAAGAGAAAGAUAGCUUUUAAUAUUUUUUGUGCACUUGCACCGUAUGCAACAAUUAUAUUUAACUCUAUAAUUUUUAAUUUCAUAAAUGGGUCCUUCUUACUAAACAACUUAGCAAAUAAAUUCUUACUUUACUAUUUCAGUAUGGUCUCUAUAAAUUCUCCAAGCACUCAAUCACACGUAGUUUUAUUGUAUGUGACCACAUAAGUUCUAUUUCACCUAAUAGUAAGAUGCGAUACUAAACUCUUUUAAUAUUACCAUUGGAACUUCUUUCGUAUAGACCAAAAUAUUUUUGUCUCUCAUAACUGAAUGUGAUUAACCAUCUUAAUCACUCUCGUUUUGGUCUCACAAUCCACAAGUGACACCUAAUAUGGUGGUUGUUAGUGUAGCUACGACCUAAUAUGGUGGCAGUUAAUGUAGCUACGACAGGCGGGACGGGUAUGUUCACAGUCCCUAGUGAGAUUGGGUCAGAGAUUGCUUUUCCUACAGAUUGUUAGUGUUGUUUCAUGAUAGUAUAGUGGCAUGUAGCUGUAGAUUAUUUUCAGUUUCUUACUAUCAUUGAGUAUACAUCUGUAGACUUAGUGUGUAACGACCCAGCCCACUAGCAACAAUAACUCGUUGGGCCCAACCGCCGGCCCAAAAUGCUUAAGCCCAGUUAUUAUUACUAGUGUCUAAGUCUCUUAUAAACCCAAUAACAACCCCAUUCCCAUCCGAUGUGGGAUUAUUGGGGUGUCACAGACUCCCUCCGUUAAGGCCCUGACGUCCUUGUCAAUCCAAACACACACACAGCCCAAGAUCGCCAGGCGAUGUGAGACUCGUCUCACUAGCCAGUCAUCUAGACCCUAGCUCAGCCGAGACUCGCCACACAUGUCCAGCUGGUGAACCGGCUCUGAUACCAAAUGUAACGCCCCAACUUCCCAGGGGUCACCCAUCCUAGGACUACUCCCGUCCUAGCACGCUUAACUCUCUUAACCUCUUGGGCCUUGCCACCACCUAAUAUGCUUAAGCCGGGUUAAGAGUUUAGCCCUAUUAUAUCUUAUAUAUAGGACUAUCUGGGGUCUCACAAUCAAAAUUUGUAACGCCCCAACUUCCCAGGGGGUCACCCAUCCUAGGACUACUCCCGUCCUAGCAGGCUUAACUCUCUUAACCUCUUGGGCCUUGCCACCACCCAAUAUGCUUAAACCGGGUUAAGAGUUUAGCCCUAUUAUAUCUUAUAUAUAGGACUAUCUAGGGUCUCACAAUCUCCCCUCCUUUAAGCCCUGACGUCCUCGUCAGGCUCAGACUCACAAGUACCAGGCGAUGUGAGACUCGUCUCGCUAGCCCGUCAUCCAGACCCUGGCUCAGCCGAGACUCGUCUCACACUUCCGGCUGGUAAUUGGCUCUGAUACCAUUUGUGACGCCCCAACUUCCCAGGGGGUCACCCAUACUAGGACUACUCCCGUCCUAGCACACUUAACUCUCUUAACCUCUUGGGCCUUGCCACCACCCAAUAUGCUUAAGCCGGGUUAAGAGUUUAGCCCUAUUAUAUCUUUUAUAUAGGACUAUCUGGGGUCUCACAUAAUGGGCGAGCCGUUGAGGUCGGUAGCGGUACCCACUGAGGACUACUUCUUUUUACAGUAGUUUUCACGUCCAGUUGUUGGAAUCUUUUGCAGAGCCUUCUUCUUCGGUUGCUGCUGCUGCUGAUUCGGAUCGAGGAAAGGGAGUCGCGAGUUAGAUCCCUUCCCCGUUGCUGCUGAUCUAGAGUAUACCAGCUACAGGUUGUUGUAGUUCUUUUUGGUUCAUUACAUACUAAUUUUGUAUCUCGCUGCCCAGAUGCUAUAUGUAUGUAUUGGACCACUGUUAUUAUUUAUGUUUUAUUUCUUUUUUUUGCAGCUCUACACUGCUAGUUGUAGUGUUGUGUGAUUAAAGGUACAGCUAUCGCUUCGUAUACAGAAAAAAUUUCUUUGUAUACGGCAGAUUUGUCGGCGUGCCCAGGGAAACGAGUAAUCCGGGGUGUGACAUUUUGUCUACAUCAAGUGUAAAAAUUUAUCGUAUGGAUCAAUUCUAUUUUUUAAUAGUCAAUAUAACAAAUAAAUAUAAAAUUUUAUUGCAUAGAUCAAUACUAUUUUUUAAUAGUCAAAAUAACAAAUUCGUAUGGUUUUUAUCCUUUUUUUUUUUAGUCCUUCUUAUAAUUUAUUCUUAUAUUUUUAUUGCAACAAUAGUUACUUAUUCUUCAGUUGAUUCUUUUUUAUAUAAUUCUUUGAAUCUUUUUUUACUUUCUUUACUUUAUUUAUUUAUUUAUUUUUACGAAAUCACGUCCUUCACUAAUAUUAGAGAGUCAAAAGUUUAAUAGACGCUUUUCUUUCUUUCUCCCUUUUAACUCACGCACCUACUUUUCUCCUCCUUGCUACCUCCGCUCUAGCCUUUUUGGCUGGAUUUUGGCUAGGCAUCUAGCUAAAAAUCCAACUAUUAGUGUAGUAACCCUGGAAUUCAGCAGCUGAGGCUUGUCGACAGCUCUGGAGAGUGUCGGGACAAGUCCGAGUCCUGUUGGCGCGAAAUAGACGCAAACUGGACUCAGCAGGACGCGAGAGCAGAGAGUUAGCAUUGCAAUCUGCAAAUUUCAGAUUUUCAGCAAUUGGUACCAUUACCGCACAGAGGCGUACGGGUACCCAGUGCAUUUUUCUGCGUAGACUGCUCUCGGGUUGGCCAUUCUGCUGCGUGGUACUGGUACAACAUUGGAGUGGUACCGGUACACCAGGGUAGGUAAAGGACUUUUUGGUCUUUUCUUGCCUCGUUUGUUUCACCUUAUCCCCUCUACAUUAUAUAGGAUGGAGAGAGAGGCUGAGGAGGGGUUUUGCUAUGCUCUCUCUCUCUUCCUCUUGUGCUCGGUCGUACGCAAGGAGGAGCUUGGGUGGAGGCGGAUUGUCACCGAUGUCGUGCCGCGGUGCCGUUUGAGCGUGCGUUCGUCGUGGUAGCGUCGUGGGGAGGCUGCGCGAGCGUGCAGUUUCGCUUCUUUCGACUUCUCGCCGUUGUUGGAUGCGCUUUCGAUGUGGGUUAAAGUGAUGCUUACCAAAUUCUACGGGUUUCCUCCUAAUGCUAUAUGUGUCGACAACAUGUAUUUUUAGCUUUGUUUAGUAUAUUGUUUAGCUCGAUUCUUAAAAUUUCAUGCCUAUGAACUUGAAUUGGAGCGUAGAAAAUUAGCUAAAAUAUACAUGUUGAACUUGGAUUUGACUUAGGAGAAAACUGACGUUUCUACACCGCCAUUUGAACAAACUACCAGAUUUAGCUCUAGGAGCCGUAGUUUGUUUGUAUCGACGCAGUUUGUGGACGGUGAAUACUUAGAAUAGUGUAGAAUAUAUUUAUACUCGUGCUGAGGUGCCGAGUGUAUUUUUACAGUAGUGUUUAGGCUGUUCCGGAUUGCCGGGUGCCGUUGAGGUUGACGGUGGACCAAGAUUGCUGUUUUUGCAUCAGAUUGUGCCUAGGAUACGUGAGUUCAGUUGUUAGACCAUGUUUACUUGACUAUAGCCUGUGAGAGUCUGAUUGAGCUCGACAGAGAUACGCUUGCAUACUCAGUUAGGUAGCGCCCAUGAGUGCCACUCCGGAGUCGGGCUUUGUGCUUUUGCGUUAGUGUCGUUUAGUCCUGGUUGAACUUGCUCUCCACUGACGACCUGGUUUAGUGUCAGAUUGUGUAGUUUCGACAGGCGGGACGGGUGUGUUUACAGUCCCUAGUGAGAUUGGAUCAGGCUUUAUUAUUUCCUACAGAUUGUUGGUGCUCGACCGAGAUAGUAUAGGUACAUAUAGCUGUAGAUUUAUUUCAGCUUUCUUACUAUACUUGUUUACAUCUGUAGAUUUAGUGGGUGAGCCGUUGAGGUCGGUAGCGGUACCUACUGAGGACUAUUUCUUUUGUAGUAGUUCUCACGCCAGUUGUUGGAAUCUUUUGCAGAGCUUUUUUCUUCGACUGCUGCUACUGCUGAUACGGACCGUGGAAAGGGAGUCGAGAGUUAAAUUCCUUCCCAGUUGCUGCUGAGCUAGAGUAUACCAGCUACAAGUAGUGGUAGUUUUUGUGUUCAUAUACAUACUUUUAUUGUAUCUCGCUGGAGCGAGUGUUUUGUAUAUCAGGAUACUUGCAUGUAUAGUGAACUUAUGUUUUUAUAUAUAUCAUUUCUUCUAGCAGCUCUAUACUACUGGUUGUAGUAUUGUUUGAUUACAGGUACAGCUGUCGCUUCGUAUACAGGAAAAAUUUCUUUGUAUACGGCGGAUUUGUCGGCGUGCCCGAAAAAACGAGUAAUCCGGGGGUGACAAUUAGGUUCGAAUUUUUGCGUUACUUUACUUAUUAUUUCUCUAAUAUUAUCUUCUAUGUUUAUGAUCUAUUCCAUAAUUAUCUAAAUUUUCAUCUUUCUUUUGCUUUAUUCUUUCGCUAUUCAAAACUCCUCUUUCUUUCAAUUUGUUCACCGUCAUCGACUUUAUGCCUAUCCUUCGUGCUGAAGCUUGGUAGACUCGGAGAUAAGGACGUCUCCAAGGUUGAAAAACUAAGAGAUAUAGGCAUUCCGCUGUGAGUCGCAGGACAAAAGUUGGAUCGAAAAUACAGUAUAGAUAAUUAUUUUUAUCUAUAUUAUCUAUAUUAUAUUUUUCCAUAUUAUGAGCUUAAUUAAUUUGUUAGUUGGUACAAUGGUUCAGGGAUUGAUUCAGAUAAUUUUCUCUUUUCUUCUUUAGGUUCGAAAACGGUUAACUUUAUCUUCUUUUUUCUUAGUUUUGAGAUACUUAUAUUUUUUCCUUCUUUCUUGAUAUAAAAUAUACUUAUUUUAUUUUUCAAAAAUCUACAAUGACGUAACCAAGCUCUCCUAUGUUUUUUAAUAAAAUGCCUACUGGUGUUAACCUUUUAUAAGUUGCAUUUGGUUUGGUUAUAAGUAAGAACUACUUAUUACAUGGAUAGGUACAAGUUCAGAUAUAAGAAGAAAUUAGACCAAUUUUGCAUUUCGAUAAAAAUUUUGCUUCUACAAAUAAGAUAAAUAGUGUUUGGAUGGUUAGAUUGGAACAAAGGGAUUAAGAGUUACAAUUUUAAAUUAAAAUUAUCUUAUCUAAUUAAUUAACAUCAAAAUAUUACUUAAAAAUAAUAAAUUAAUAUUAAUAAUUAUAAAUUAAUAAAUAAAUUAAUUAAAUAAUAAUAAAUUUGUGUUUGGAUGAAAAUUGAGUUAUUCCUAGANNNNNNNNAAUUAUAAAUAAUUAUAAAUUAUAAAUUAAUUAAUUAAUAUUAAAAUUAUUAAUUAGUUAAUUAUUAAUAACUAUAAAUAAUAAAUUAUUAAUAAUUAAUAGUAAUAAUAAAUUAUUUAAUUAUAAUUAAUUAAUAGUAAAUAAAUAAUUAAUUAAUAAUAAAUUAAUUAAUUAAGAAUAAAUUAACGAUAAAUUAGUUAAUUAUAAAUUAGUAAAUUAAUUAAUUAUUAAUUAAUAAAUAAAUAAAUAAAGUAAUUUUUAAUAAUUAUAAUUUAAUUAAUAAUAAUAAUUAAUAAACUAAUAAAUUAUUUUAUAGCUUAAACAAUAAAUAUUGAUUUAAAUAUAUUAAUUAAAUUAAUUAAUUAUUUAAUACCCAAAUUAAAAUUAUUUUUAAACUUUAAUUAACCUUAUUCUCACCUAGAAACAAGUUUGUUCCAUAGGAAAGAUGAAACAACAGUUCCAGCCUUAUAUCGGCUUAUUCCAAAAAUCUAAGAACUACUAUUCUCGGGUACCAAACGCAGCGUUUGGGAACAAAAGAGGAAACAAGGGCUUAUUCCCCCUUUGUUUCCUAACCAAACGCUUCCCAAAUUGCUAUUUGGGAUUAAAGGGGGAUAACCUCUUAUCCGAUCCUCCAUUAACCCUAAACCAAACAGUGUUAAAAAACUAUAAAAAAAAAAGGGGAAAACUUCAAAAACCCCCCUUGUGGUUUCAAUUUUUUUCACUUUAGUACUCUGUGGUUUAAAAUGUAUCAAGUUAGUACCCUAUGGUUUCUCACUUUAUCACUUUAGUACCCUGUGGUUUAAAGUGUAUCAAGUUAGUACCCUGUGGUUUUGCACUUUAUCACUUUAGUAUCCUGUGGUUUUAAUUUUGUAUCAAGUUAGUACCCUGUGAUUUUUUAAAUCACAAGGUACUAAAGUGAUAAAGUGUGAAACCACAGGGUACUAAAGUGAUAAAGUGCAAAGCCACAGGGUACUAAUUUGAUACACUUUAAACCACAGGGUACUAAAGUGAUUAAGUGAGAAACCACGGGUAGUAACUUGAUACACUUUAAACCAUAGGGUACUAAAAUGAAAAAGUGUGAAACCACAGGAGGGUUUUUGAAGUUUUCCCAAAAAAAAAAGAAAAAAAAAAUUGUUACCCCAAAUUUGAUGGAGCCACUGGCCUUGAAUUCCCAGUCCAUCACAUAAUCGUAAUUCCCCAGCGCAGCCACCAUCCUCACAACCAAACUCACUUCCGGUCGCACCUCCCUUAUCUGCAAUUUCACCAUCAUCAUAAACAUAAAGCCCAAACCCAUAUAUCAACCUACCGAAAAAAAAUAAAAAGAGAAAUCUAAUUACUAAAAAUACACAUGCAGUUACUUUUAAUCAUAUUGCCUUCAUGCACUUACCACUCCUUCCGGUAACCCGAACUCCGUGUGCCGCCACGCAACGUCGCCGGCGUAGCGCUGGAACACGCAGAAAACGUUCUCAAUUUUGAUAGGCUUGCCAUCCUGCCCGGCGUAGUACCCGUCCAAGAAUGCCGCGCCGGCUGGGCAAUCAGCCUCGGGCACGAGAGGGGAGGCCCACAGCCCGAACCCGAACUCGCCCUCGUCGAAGAACGUCCGGUAGUACCACUCGUCGACCGGGUCCAUGUAUGGCACGAACAGCUCCGACACAAACCCUCGGUAGAGGACGCGGCGGCAUGCACACUUCUCACCAUCGUAGACGGACGCGAGGGAGAUGAUGGCACCGGCGCGGACGUCGUAGCUCAGGUGGAACUCCCAGUUAGCCCACCUACAUGAAUUAAAUUUUUAAUUGAGCUUCAAUGCUUUUAAAAGUACCGGAUUAUUCGCGCUUAUAAAUUUUCGGCUUUUGGAUAAAGAAAUGUGCGAUUAAAAUAAUACCGGUCCUUUAAAAUUGAGUGGAUAAUUUGUUGAAUAGUAUAAUUUAACAAGUAAAAAUGAUCAAAAAAAUUAUAUCUAAUUGUUAAAAAAUUACAAGCUUUAAAGAGUUUUGUGCUUUUAAAAAUAUCAUAACAGGACUCUAGAAAAUAAUAUUAUAGUAUUUUAUAUUCAAUAAUAUGCUGUUUGGAUCGCUCAAAAUCUUCAUACGAUAGUUUAUGCUACAAAUUCCCUCAAGCGGAAAAUAAGAGAAAAUAUAAUAGUUUUCUUGGUUGAUACCUUUUGCUUCGAGUUAUAAAUUUUUAUUUUUCUCCCCAGAUUUGUGCAUAAAUAUCUAAUAACUUGUUAGAAAAUGGAAAAAAAAAAAAAAAAAAAAACAAUUAGGCGUAGUAGCUAGCUUAGCUCCGUAGCUACCUGAUAAUGUUGCCGUUGAUCUCGAACCCUGUCCCCUCCGGCUGGCCGACCGAUCCCGACUUGGUGCGCCGCCGGUAGUCGGUCCCCUCCGCCUUGGGCACCGGCAGCUGCACCCGAUCCCUAUACUGGACGAUCUGCAUCUCAUCCAUAUCCACCACAAUCGUUAUUCCCUCCAGCGGCCUCGCGUAGAAGUUCGCGGCCUCCCCCGCCACGAAGCACGGCACCUUCAGCACCCUCUUCCCUUUCUUCCGCUCUCCGAACCAUCCCACAGAGAACGUGCUGCAUAUCACUUGGCUCAAAUCCACUCCUCUCUUCGCAACCGACUCGAUGAACGGCGUGUAGCUCAUCGGUAAGCUCACGGCCGCCGCCUGCUCCGCGAGAGUGAAGAUAGGGUACCCGAUGCCUCCGUAUGUAGAAUCGGAGAUGAUUUUGCUAUUGGUUAUAUCGACGUAGAUUUCGCGAGUCUCUUUCCCGGCGCGGGCGACGACGAAGGCUCGACGGGGCGGUCGCGGAGCGGCGGUGGGGUUGGAUAGGAAGGAGAGGAGCUGGGGCUUGUCGGGUUCGUCGAGGCCGACGUAGUGGAAGGAGAGGGGGCCGGAGGAGGAGCCGAGAGGGGACGCAAGGAUUACGCGGCGGAUGGCGGUGAUUUCGUCGGGGGUGAGGGAGUCGAGAGGGUGAGGAGAGGUUGAGAUUAAUGAGCACGAGGUAGAGAAGAGUGAGAGGAGGAGCGCCGAGAAGAUCAAGGGGAACAUUUUGGGGAUGAAUUAAAAGGUAACUCUGCUGCUGGAGUGAAGAGAAAAGCUGCACAUGCUUCUUAUGCCAAUGAUUCAAAAGCCGGCCGAUUCGGUACUUGCGACGGUGAUCCAAUCGAUAAAAUAGUUGGAUUUAAUAUUUGGAAAAACUUCAAUUAAAAAAAAUCAUGUGAUUUGACAUUUUUUCACUCCUAUACUUUAUACUUUAGAGUGUAUCGAGUUAAUACUAUGUGGUUCCGCACUUUCUUACUUUAAUACCCUGUGGUUUAAAGUGUAUCACGUUAGUGUUAUGUGGUUUCAUUUUUUUAUCAAGUUAGUACCCUGGGUUUUCAUUUUUUUUUUAUUAUUCAUUUUGGGAUAUUUUUUUUGUUAAAUCAGUGACACAGUUAUAGUUAAAGAGUACUAAAAUGAAUAUUCAAUAAAUCUAGAUAGGAUAUCUGAAAUUUUUUGUAUAUAAUUUAACGAAAUAUUAAAUCACAGGGUACUAAAAUGAGAAAAUGCGAAACCACAGAGUACUAACUUGAAACACUUUAAACCACAGGGUAUUAGAGUGAGAAAGUGCGAAAUCACAGAGUACUAACUUGAUACAUUUUAAAUCAUAGGGUACUAAAAUGAAAAUGUAUGAAACCACAUGGGGGUAAUUUGAAGUUUUCCCUUAAUAUUUUGAACCAUUUGAAUCAAUAACUGCGUCAUUGAAUCUGUAAAUCGAUCCGAUUUUACUUAAGCUGAACAGUUUUUUUUUUAUCAAAUUAUAUUAAAAAUUCAACAGUUUAAAAUUAACUUAACUAAUUUUAUUUUCUUAGCACGUAUAAAUUUUAUAAAAAAAAAGUAAAAUUAAAAACUUAUAUAUACUUAAUUUGGCCCAAAAAUUAAUAUUCUAUAAUUAAUUAUAAUAUUAGAAUAAUAAUAUUUAUUGGCCUUUUUGCAUAAAAAAUCCACUUAUUUUGGGCUUUUGCAAAAUCGGGUCACUUUCUUCGUUUUUGCAGAUUCGGUCCGCUUUUUCAGCAAACUGACCAAAAUACCUUCAUUACUUUUUCUCUUUCCUUUUUCUCUCUUCUCUUCGUUCUCUCGUUCUUUUUUUUUUCCGCCGAAAAAAAAGGCGAAGGCCGGAGCACCGCUAGGCGGGCUCUUCUUCUUCUUCUUCCUGCAGGAGCAAUUUUUUUUCUCUUUUUCUUUUUCUUCUUCUUCUUCCUCCUGCUGGAGCAUUUUUUUUUUCCCUCUUCUUCUUCUUCUUCUUCUUCUUUUUCUUCCUGUAAGAGCACGAAGCGCGCACAGCGACUUCCGGCCUCGCCACAGAGCCCGACCGCUCGACCCCGACGCCCCGCUCAAGCCGGGGAAGCUCUACUUCCUCGUCGACCUCCCCCGCGCCGACCCCGAGCCCGACCACCGCCGCGAGGGCGCAACCGGCGCCGGCGCCGCACGUUCCUACUAGUUGGGCCCGAAGGAACGGCCCGCGUCGACACGAGCGGCCGACGCUCGAAGCCCGACGUGCCGCUCAAGGCCGGAAGCCUUUACUUCCCUCCCACUGCGCCGACCCCGAGCCAACCACGCCGCGCGUCGAUUUCACCAUUACAACAUUUAAUGGUAAAUGGUGGCACCAUUAACCAUUAAUGGUGAAAUUACACCAUUACACAUCUAAUAGUGUAAUGGUGUAUGGUGUAAUGGUGUAAUUACACCAUUACAGCCAUACACCAUACACUAUUAAUGGUGUAAUGGUGUAAUUUCACCAUUAAUGUGUAAUGGUGCACCAUUACACCAUUUACGAAACCCGGCCAGCCGGGACAGCGAGCGCCCGCGCGGAGACCGCCGAGUCGACGUGCGGCCUCCUCCGCCGGCAACGGCGACGGAGAGGGAGGCGUGGCGUGCACCGGCCAACCUCAAAGCCUCGGCGACCCCGACCUCCCCCGGCUCCGCUCGACCCGACGCCCGCAGGCGCCGCGUGCACUGCCCGGCGUGCUGCGGCGCCAAUCGAGCUCGGUGGCAGAGCUCGGCUCGGGCGCCGUCGCCGCGGCAGAGCUUAGCCGCGGCGCGGCGACGGCGACGGCGCUGAGGCGUUCUCCGCCAGAGUGGCUCUGACGGCCGCGAUCGGCCCGAAGCUGCUGCGGAGCGCGGCGACGGCGGCGGGAAUUGGUGGGUUUGGUGGACCCGUGCUUGGGCGCGGAGUACGACGCGGAGGAGGCCGCGGAGAUGGUGAGCUGGCGGCGGCGGUGCAUUGCGGGAGCCCGAGCUUGAGGCCGUCCAUGGCGGAGGUCGUGCGGCCAUGGAAGGAGAAGGCGUGCAAGUCGAUCUCAGCCGUUCGUGCGAGAUCGAACGGCAAGUGUGAUUCGUAAUUUCUCUUUUUUUUUUGUGUUUUCACUUUGUGUGUGGUAUACUUAUGGAGUGGUGAUUAGAGGUAGAGUGAAAAGGAAAGGUGAAAUGAGAAACAUUGAAAUGUGUGAUAGCCAGAAAUUGUUUGUUGAGAAAUAAAAAAAAUAGUAUUGCAGAGUUUUGUAUUGAGUUGCCAGCAAUAUUUGAUAAUUUUGUUUCAAUGAUGAUUAUGAUGAUGAGGAGGGGAGGAGGAGAAAGAGGAUAUGAUGACGCCGACGCCGCGCCCACGCCGCCCCGCCGUGCCUCGUUCCUCUGCGCGGCAGUAGCGGCGGUGAAGCUCUGCGCGGUGACGGCACCCCAAGCCGAGCUCUGCUUGCGGAGCUCGGGGGCGCCGCGGCACGCACGGGGCCGGUGCACGGCGGCCGGCGCGGCGUCGGGGGUCGAGCGCAGGGCAGGGAGGUCGGGUCGGCCGAGCUCGAGGUCGGCCGUGCACGCCAAGCCCUCCCUCUCCGUCGCCCCCCGCCGCGAAGGAGCGCGCACGUCGACCCGGCGGUCUCGCCACGGGCGCUCGCUGUCCCGGCUGCCGCGGUUCUUCGUAAUGGUGUAAUGGUUACACCAUAAUGGUGAAAUUACACCAUUAAUGUGUAAUGGUUACACCAUUUAAUGGUGUAAUGGUGAAAUCGCGCGGCGGUGGUCGGGCUCGGGGUCGGCGCGGGGGAGGAAGUAGAGCUUCCCCGGCUUGAGCGGGGCGUCGGGGUCGAGCGGUCGGACUUGUAGUCCGACGCCCGGCCUUCCUCGGGCAACUAGUAGGAACGCGCGGCACCGGCGCCGGCGCCGGUUGCGCCCUCGCGGCGGUGGUCGGGCUCGAGGUUGGUGCGGGGGAGGUCGACGAGGAAGUAGAGCUUCCCCGGCUUGAGCGUCGGGGUCGAGCGGUCGGGCUCCGUGGCGAGGCCGGAAGUCGCCGUGCGUGCCCCGUGCUCUUACAGGAAGAAAAAGAAGAAGAAGAAGAAGAAGAGGGAAAAAAAAAAUGCUCCAGCAGGAGGAAGAAGAAGAAGAAGAAAAAAAAAAGAGAAAAAAAAAAUUGCUCCUGCAGGAAGAAGAAGAAGAGGAAGAAGAGCCCGCCUGGCGGUGCUCCGGCAUUCCCAUUUUUUUUCGGCGAAAAAAAAAAAAAGAACGAGAGAACGAAGAAGAGAGAGAAAGAGGAAAGAGAAAAAGUAAUAAAGGCAUUUUGGUCAGUUUGCUGAAAAAGCGGACCGAAUCUGCAAAAACGAAAAAGGUGACCCGAUUUUGCAAAAGCCCAAAAUAAGUGGAUUUUUUAUGCAAAAAGGCCAUAUAUAUUUGAUAUAAUAAAAUAUAAAAUAAAAGGUAAAUAUUUAUGACAUUAUAUUAUUAUUGAUUGAAUCAGUAAUUCUUUUUUUUUGAGAGAAAGGUAGCAUGCUACCGCUUCAUUUAUUAGGGACGUGAAUUUAGCAAAGGGGAGAAGCAACUAGGCUUCAAAAAAAAAAAAAAAAAAAAAAAAAAACACAACCUCUAAACACAGUAUUCCUCCCACGCACUAACGGUAACGCGAAGAUCCGUCAGCACCUGUCUCACCGUGCGCUUUGUGUCGUCAAAAAUUCUUCUGUUUCGUUCUAACCAGAUGGCCCGCCAGGUAGCUAGUAGGAUAACAGACUCCUUCCUUCCUACAGCUCCCCGUUUACCCCGACACUCAUUCCAAAGGCUGUCAAUAGACAAACAUGCCCUUAGGAAGGCCUUAUUAGGCAAUAAGCAUCCCAGCAGUGCACGUGUAACAUCACAAGUUAAGAAUAGAUGAUCAACAGUCUCAGCUUCAUCCAAACAUAGCGUGCAUGCGGCCACGCCCAACCAACCCCUCUUCGCAAGAUUGUCCUUAGUGAGCACUUUCUUCAGCAAUACCAGCCACCCGAAGAUUUUCACUUUAAGUGGGAUUUUACUUAUCCAAAUCAUCACAAACUUCAUCUCAGUUACACCGUCGUUCUGCAUAAAAUUGUACAAAGAUUUAACCGUAAAGACUCCCGAAUUACACCAUCUCCAUAUAGUUUCAUCCCCAAGUUCAGAUAGGUUGCAGGUGUUAACUAGAUCUUUCAAUGCCACGAUUGAGUCGUCGUCUGCGGUGGAGUAUGCCGUAAACCCUUGUAAAAUCCUUUGCCACCUCCAGCCGUCCGUGCCUAUAAACUUCCCAACUCGUUGGUUUUUCAUAACUACGGCAUUGAAUAUAUGCAGGAACAUCGAUUGAAGAGAUAUUUGUGCACACCUUCUGUCCCUCUAAAAGCUCACGGAAGUACCAUCCCCUAUGCUGUAGGAGACCCCGCACCAGAAAAUCUCUCUAGUUAACAUAACACUCUGCCACCACUGGGAGAACGGUUUGAAUGAGAUUCCUUCUCUCAAGGGUAUCCUUCUAGUAUAAUACGCCCCUCGUAUAAAAUUUCUCCAGAGAGUAUUCUUGUCUGAAAGGAACCUCCACCACCAUUUAGCUAGUAACGUCACGUUCAUUAUCUCUAAAUCCAGGACCCCAAGGCCGCCCUCCCUUUUGCUCCGACAAACCGUCCUCCACCGGACCAAACAUUGACCCCCGAAAAUGGUACUCCUUCCUUUCCAAAAGAAGGCUCUCCGAAGUGCUUCAAUACGUUUAACAACCAAUUUUGGUGCUCUGAACACAGAAAAGAAGUAGAGGGGUAGGUUCGAGAUUACCGAGUUGACCAGGACUAACCUGCCCCUAGUGGAAAGGAGUUUAGCCUGCCAUCCUUCUAUCCUUCGUUCAAUCCUGUUGAUAAUUGGCCACCAGUCUGACUUGCGUAGUCUUCUAUUCGUAAGUGGAAGUCCCAGAUAUCUUGUAGGGAAAACACCUACUUUGCACCCUAAAAUUUCAGCCAAUCUGUCGCCUUGUUGGAUGUUUGAACCUAAAUAGAACAGUUCCGACUUGCUCCUGUUAAUUUUCAACCCCGAGGCCCACUCGAAGAUAUGCCAGACGAAACGGAGAUUCCUCACUUGUCUUUUCUUGGCCUCAUAGAAGAAGAGGGUAUCAUCAGCGUACUGAAUAAAAGCUACUUUUGUAUCGUUAGUAGGCCCCACCCCUUUCAACAGGCCGCUGCUAACAGCUUUAUUCAUCACUCUUGCCAGACCUUCAGCAACUAAGAGAAAUAAAUAGGGCGAAAGGGGAUCGCCCUGGCGGAGGCCCCUCUUAGUUUUAAUCCAUUUGGUCGGGGUGCCGUUAAUAAGAACAGCGACUUUCGCCUUAUCUAUACAUUGUUCAAUCCAACUACACCAGAUAGGCGCAGCCCUGAGCCACUGCAAGAUCUUCAGAAGAAAGUCCCAACUCACUUUGUCGUAUGCUUUUUCGAAAUCAGCUUUUACACCGACAGUCUCUACACCCAUUUUUGAGCACCAGCUGACCACUUCACUUGCAGUUGCAAACGAAUCUAAGAUUGAUCGACCCUUAAGAAAGGCUGUUUGCGAAGGAGAAAUAACACCAUGGAGAAUGCCUUCCAGCCUAUUAGUGAGUACUUUCGAAAUAAUUUUUUGUACUCCAUUAAUCAGACUGAUAGGCCGAAAAUCAUUAGCUGUCUUCGCCCCUUCAUCUUCGGAAUUAGACAGAUGUACGAAUAGUCAAGGGGGGCGGAGUUUAGAGACCCCCCAAACAAAUCACUGAAAAUAUUGAACAAAUCCGCCUUGAGUGUUUCCCAGAACACCUGAAAAAAUCUAAGGUUGAAACCAUCCGGCCCCGGUGCUUUAUCUCCUCCAAGUUGGAAGGUCACUUUUCUUAUCUCUUCCAUGGAGAACGGUAUAGUGAGGUUGCUGUGAUUUAAUAACAGCCUAUCUAAGAACAGCUCGCUCCAAUCACCUGUUGACCGUCUAUCGCCUCCUCCAGGUGCAAACACUCAUUUAAAGUGCACAUAGAAAUAUUCCUUUAAGUCCUCCUUUCUUUGUAGUGUCUUGCUAUCGUCUUCUACUGUUCCGAUGGUGUUCUCCCUUCUUCUCCUAUUAGCCAUAGCGUGAAAGAAUUUCAUAUUUCCAUCACCCUCUUUGAGCCAGUGUUGCCUAGCGCGCGUCUUCCACAGUAUUUCUUCGUCAAGGAUCACUUUUGACAGUUGCCGCUUGAGCUGAUUCCGUCUCUCAACCCGUUGAGUCGUCAGGAGCUGUUGCUCUUCCAAGGUAUCGAGUUUUUGAAUCUCGUCUGAUAAAUCCUUCUUCGUUCUGUAAAUAUGGUAGAAAUGAACCUUGGAUCACUCUUUAAUUCUUUUUCGGCAAUGUCUAAGUUUAGCCGCAAAGGUAAGUGCACUUGGUCCGGUGAGUGUAAGUUCCUCCCACCAUACAGGCACCAAAGAACGAAAAUCCUCACGCGUUAACCAUACUUCCUCGAAUCUGAACAGCCGACGGGACCUCUUAUCCGCAGUAGAUAAAACGAUCGGAGCAUGGUCAUAUGUGAUUCGCGGCAAUGCAAUUGCCUUUGUAAGCGGGAAAGACUGAUCCCACUCAGUGGAAACAAGAAACCGAUCCAACUUGGCCAUGGUAGGACACUGCUGCAUGUUGGACCACGUGAAACUCUGAUUACCCAGUGGGAUGUCGAUAAGCUCCAUAGAAUUUAGUAAAUCUGUAAACAUCGUCAUAAGGCUAGUACUCUAGCUACUCCCUCUUCUCUCAUUUCGAUUUCUGGUAAGAUUGAAAUCACCACAUGAAAUCCACCUUCCACAGCAAUAGUUUUGAAUCUUCAUUUGGAGUUGGGCUACUAUACUCUUAUGAGUACGAUCGUUUUCGUACUUAUAUAUCGUUUCGAUGAUAGAGCAUCCGAAUCGACGAUCCAUACCGUUAAAUAUUAUCUAGAGUAUUUAAAAUUUUUAAACAUUAAAUUUCAUAACUUUUUUUACAUUAUUUAUUUUACGAUAAAAAAAUCUCAAAAUUAAUAAUUUGAAACGAUCGGUAUGAGAUUCUUGUUAGUUUAACAGUGUGAAAGUAUCGGUAUGAGUUGAAUUUUUAAUAAAAAAAAUUCUAUUCACUGUCUAGAUAAAAGAUCAAUAACUCCGAUUUCAAAUUGAAGAAUCCGAUUAUUUAUUUUUAAGAUCUCGUUCGAUUUUGAUCAUCCAUUUUAUACUCAUUUGAUGGACUUUGUUAUGAUUUUAAAAAAUUAUAAAAUUUAAUUUCUAAAAAUUUUAAAUAUUUUAGAUCAUAUUUAAUGAUAUGAAUUGAAUAUGAAAAAAUCUAUGCUAAUAAGAAUAUAAUAGACCUAUUUCUUUAUCGGAUCUAAUUUUUAAAACAUUAAUUUAUUCUCGUGGGCGCGUGUGCGGAGGAGCUAAAUAAAAUUCUCGAUAUUCGUCACUAGUGUGAUUAGUUGCACUGGACCAAUAAUGAGGUAUAGGUCGUAAUCCCACCCACGAACAUUCAAAGACCAACUCAUUUUUAAUUAUCUCCUCACUUUUUUCUUUUUAAUAUUAAAGAUAAAAAAACCGACGAUUCCUAAAACAAGUGUCAAAGGGUUUGAUGGUUGAUACCCAAAACCCAAGUUCGAAUCCUACUUGAUUCACAUUUUUAGCUAAGUUUAUUUCUAAAUAAAAUAAACGAAGCGGGUAGCGUGCUAUCUAUCUCUCUAAAAAAAUAUUAAAAAUAAAAAAAAGUACACAAAAUUCUAGAAUAUUUAGUUUACAAUCUAAAAAAAAAGGGAAUACGACAACUCUUUAUGUUUGAGUUAAUCUACACAUUUUAAAUUUUAAUAUUUAAAAAAAUUGUUGAUAGAACUAGCAUAUAAAAACUUGGAUUGUAGAUGAUCAAAUUGUCGGAUUAUAAUUUUUUUCAUAUUGUAAACCUAGCAUCAAUAGCACACAUAAAUUGCAAACCCUAAAAAAGCCCUCUCUGUGUUUGGCCGCAUGGUUUGAUUUUGAAUUCUCAUUAAUGCUCAUUAGCAUGGUAUAUACAGCGAGUAUUCAUCCUCAUUCAUGCUUAUUUGAAGGGUAAAUACAAUGCAUUCUUUUUGCUUCGUGUGGUGUCCUAUCAGGCACGGUGGUUCACCUUUUUCUUUUUCUUUCUCAUCCACAUUCUAGUCGUUCAUCUUUAUUUUAAUCAAUAUUUCUAAAAUAAUAGAUUAUUUAAAUCUAUAGAUUAUUAAAGCAACAUUUCUCUAGUUCAAUUAAACAUUUUAUUCGGACUCUCAAUCGACUAUGGAUAAUUUGCAUCAACCCAACCGAGUAAGGUGAUAGCUAAUAUUAUUAGUGAUACAAUAGGGCAUUAGAUUUUUUUUAUUAAUAUAUUUUUCUUUACACUGAUAUUUUACUUUAUUUAAAUUAAAAAUUAUUUGGUACAUUUUGGUAAAAUAACUUUUUAGUAAAUUAAUUAUUUUAUUUUUUUUAAAAUCAUAAUAACCAUAUAUGUUGGGAAAUAAACUUGGAGAUUUAAUUAUGAUUUGCCUUUUAACAUCUAGAGGACGUGCAGAUUGGCUGUUGGAUUAAGGGACUCUCAAUCACUAUGGAUUAUUCGCAUCAAAUGAUCAAGACCAUUUCUUGCAAACCACAUGAAAUUAACCAUAUGCCAACAAAAAUAGAAAAAAAUAAAUCAAUAACCAGUAUUCACAAACAACAAUAAUAACAAAGUACAACUAAAAACAAUUAAUGUAGUAAUUAAUUAUGUUUUUAUAUACUAUAACAACACGACCAAAAAAGAAUAAAUUCACAAUUAAAAAAAAGCAUAUCAUAUAGAUAUAAUAAAAAGAGAACUCUAAAGUGGCCACGCGUCACCUUCCCAGCGACCCCCCCUUCUCAGCUCUGCCCGAUCCCUUCGCUUGCGCCGAGCGGGGUCACGUGCCUCCCGCCCCGCCUCUCUCCUCUCGGUAGGCCCAGAUCCGCUGCCCUCCUCUCUCCGAUCCCUCUUCUCUCCGAUCCGAGCCCCACCCCCCCGUCGGGUGUUUGUCGGGCCCUACUCUGACCUCCUCCUGUGCUCGAUGUACGUGCAUUCCAUCGCUGCGCCAGGGUUGGCCAGAGUAUGGGAGUGCCCGCGGUAUCUCUUCUCUCUGCUCCCCAUGUGCAUCCCGAUUCUUCUAUCUCUGCAAUCCCUUCCUCUAAGCCCCGAUUCCGUCCCCGACGCCGCCGGAAGUGGGUGGGGGAUCUGCCCCUUUCUUUCCUCUGCCGUCGUCCUCCCUCCUCCUUCCGGAUCUCUCAACCUACAGUCUGCUCAGGAAAUGGCAAUAAAUAGUCCUAGCACUAUGCAGAGGGGGGCAGCUUGCUUGCUUGCCUAUGUUUGAAAGGUUUGUUGUAGUUGUUUGCCGGUAGCAUCUCCUCUAAUACUCUCUUUACUGUCUUUGUGGCUUCAGCCCUGUCCUGCCAUCAUUCUUCUCGGGCUGUGGCCCCUGCGGAGCCCUAUUGUCACGUCCCGGGGUCCCUUUUUAGUUUGGAAAAACAGCGGAAACGACUAAAUUUUUUUUUGAAACACCUGACCCCAGAGUAUGUCAGAUCCGCCACAAAUACAGGGAAUCCACUGUUCACACGGACAGAGUCUCCCCUGUAUUUGCACGGCGUCGCACAAGUACAAAAGUACAAAUAGUAUACAACCACAACUAAAUGAAUAUACAGAUAGCUAUACAUUCAUACAUUCACCAUUCACACCGUAGUUUUACAUUCAAUGUUUAAACAGAAAUCCACGAAAAAUCCUUUUGAAAACUGUUUCCUACACGGAAACCUUUAUUCGUUAAAAACGCUAUCACGAGGGGUAGAAAACCUUUUAUUUUACAAAAUCCAGAAAUCCACANUAGAACAGCUAAACCGGUCGAAACGAGCUAUUGGACUAAUAUGAACGGAGUCCGAUACGCGCCAGAAGCCAACUCUACUCCGUGGCUUCUCCGGAAAACCGGAGUUACUAUUCACUUAAGUGAAAACUAAAAGUCGCGUAUCUUCUCCAUUUUAGCUCAUUUUCGCCCGAAACUUGACGAGUACUUAUGUAAUUAAAUUACACACAUAAACAUCAUCAACAGAGAGUUUAGUAGCACUGUCGAAAAAAAUCUCAGUCCUUACACCUAUCCUCGCAUUGUUCUUUCCGGACUGUGCCCCGUGCGCGUUGUACUGCUGCCUCAUCACUUUUGGUGAGUGGGCAACAAUCUAUUUGCUUUGGGGUUCUGACUCCCAACGACCUUCUUCGGUCCUAUUAACCUUUUUCUGAAAACCGUGUUUCGACAAAAAAAAUAGGCUUUAUACUUAUCAUAUAAAAAAAACCCAAGAAAAAAAGCUGAACACUUUUGAUUAACUGGGCGGUGUUCUACACGGGCUAAAUUAUUGUGCUCUUUUCUUACCUCUGUUUAGUAGCUAUAACUUAUGUUGGGUUCAGGAUUUCUUUCCCGGCCUUCUUCGGGUCCCUCAGAAAUUUGAAUUUUGCUGUUUUCUAACAAUCACUUAUUAUCGAAGUGCGGUUCCAACAAAGGCAAAAAAAUUAGUCCUUUAUACUUGACACAUAUAAAAGUGGGGUAAAAACAAUUCUGAGGUCUUUUGCUUGGAAUUUUUUGGGUUCCUCCGAAACUGGAAUUUAGCUGUUUGAAAGUCCUAUGUACUUGAUGCAUAAGAAGAAAGGUAAAAAAUUUGCUGGGUGCUUUUGAUGGCUUGGACUGUGUGCUGCUCACUCUAAAGAAAAAAAAAAAAAUUGCUUAGGCCUUUUGAUGACUUGGACUGUGACUUCCGCAUUGUGCGUGGACUUCUUUGGGUCCCUCCAAAUCUUGACUUUAAACCCCCCCCUCACCCCCCUUACCGCCCCCCUUCCCCCUUCAAGCAUUCCGCAUAACCAGCUGGUAAAAUUGCUUAUAUACUUAUGGUUACGCACUUGGAAUGUCUCUGCUGUUGCUUUCGAUAAUUCGCAAAAACGUCCUCUCUGUUAUUUCUACUUAACAUGUCUUGUGGCUAGUUGGGCAAAUAUUUAUGUGACGUUCAUUUAUUUCUGUAAAAAAAAAAAUAACCCAUCUCAUUAAGUACGUAUAAUAAUUUGCCUUUGCAUUGACCCUAGUUUCUGUCUUGGCAGCAGUUAUUGAGAUAUCGGUAAUUCAGCUUUCGAACACUAUGUUACUUGGUGAAAUUGCCGGGAAGCUGGGCGUUGAAACGCCCGAGUGUAUUGUAACUAUAAGAAAACAGACAUUUUGUGGCAAAUCUAAUGGCCACAAAAUGAAACAAAUUCGCCACAAGAGGUCUUUUGUGGCGAAACUGAUUUCGCCACAACUUCGCCACAAUAGGACCGCUACAAAAAGUUUUAAUAGCCAAAAUAAAAUUCGCCAUAAAUUGUUCUAUGAAUUUGCAGCAAUAUAAUUCGCCUCAAUACUUCUAACAUCCGCCACAAUUAGUUAACAUAUGGCUACAGAUAUUGAUUAAAAUAAUAAUAAAAUAUCUAACAUUUUGUGAGAAAAUUAUUUUUGGCCACAAUCGACAUCGUAUAAUUUAUGGCAAAUUUUAAUACCAGCUACAAAUAGUAUUGAAUUUAUUGUGAGGAUAUUUAUUUGUUGGCCACACAUGAUGUCAGAUAUUUUGUGGCAAAAUGCAAUAUCGGCCACAAUUUUAGUUGCAACUAUAGUAGCGAAAUUAAGUACUUGGUUACAAAUAGUCUCGUACAAAUUAUGGCGAAAUAUGUAUGGCUACAAAUAAUAUUAUAUUUGUUAUAGCGAAAUUUAGUUUUGGCUAUAAAUAAUUUAGAAAAUUUUGUGGCCAAAUGUUGUUUCGAUCACUAUAAUCGUUUCAAAUUUUAUAUGUAUAUAAUAUAUUGUGGCUAUUUAUUAUUUUGCCACAGAUAACUUGUAGUAUUAUUUGUUAGUGGGCGUUUUAGCUCUAAAAAAAUAGAUUUUACAGAUUAUCACCGUAUCACACUGAAUACUACUUAACCAGAAUUUAAACAUAAUAUCAAUCACAAUAUUCAAGACAUAUACGCCAUAAUACAAAAAACGACUAUAUGUUCAAGUGCCACAAUCAAAAUAAGCUAACAGUUAAUUGUUCACAUCAAGUAUCAUUUGCACCAAACCACAUAAGUUUUUAAUCUCAUCAAAGUCACAUCUCAUAUUACUGACUUUUUAGAACAACGAAAAAAAAACUCUAAACUAAGAGCGAAAUGAAGUGCCUGAGAUGAUCCAACUUGAAAAUAUUGAGUAUCCAAGACUUAGUCCUAUAGAAUUAAAAAGAAUAGUGAUAAGAAUAGUGCAUAUUAUCUAUUUUUUUCAUCAAAAAGCAAAAGAUACCUAAGACAUACUAAAUUAAAUAUAGUAUAAGCUGAAAUAAUUGCAAUUGUAUAACUUACAUUUUCUGUUGACGCUAGCUGAAAAGUAUAGACAAUCCCAUUUGUGAAAGUUGUUCCAUCAUGCUACGCAUCUGACUAAAUAAUUUAAAGUUAAAUUAUGAAAUCAUAUAAUUUUUAUCACGUGCAUGUUAAUGUGCCAUGCAUUUUACAAAGUCAAUGAUCUUUAUUCCUCUAAAAUAUUACACAUAUUUAUUGACUUAUGAAUAAAAAUAAAAAUAAAAAUAAAAUAAUGAACUCCAAAAUUAGAAAGGGAAAUAAUUAAAUCAAACUUUUAUUAGUAGAAGGAGUGUCAAUCAAAUAAAAAAGGUUUAGGGAUCUUUUUCAAAAUAAGCUAAAGUUCAAAAGAUGUUUAUAUAUUUUGACCAAAAUUACACUUAAGCAUGAGGGCAGAUUUACAUGUAUACCUAUUAAGUAAAUCAUUAACUUUAAACUUUGACCAACAUAUAUAUAUAUAUUUUCACCAAUCUUUCUUUAUAAAAAGUAAAUCAUCAACAUGUAUACCAGAUUUACAUGUAUACAUUUUAACCAACCUUUCUCUAUAAAAAAUAAAUCACCAACUUUAAUCUUGACAAAAAAAAAUUUCUUUUUUUUUAAACUUUGUUUUCUUUUCUCUAACUGUUCAGUAAAUAGUGAGGAUAUAGAUCCUAUCUAAACUAAAUAAGUGCAUAGAUGAUUUUCAGAUGGUUUAAUCCACUAAUAUUUUAUCAUCCGCAAAAAAAACUCACAGAGUAAUAAAUAUUAUUAUAAAUCAUAUAACUCUAAAAAAAAAUUGAUUAUAUAACAUCUUGUUAAACUUAUUAUAAAUACAAAAAAAAUUAAAAAACUAAAAAUCUAAAACUCUUGUUCCUAAUAAAGAAUGGGUUAUGAAUAUAUAAAUAAAAUUGCCAUAUAUUUUAUAUAAGAGUAUAAUCAUUCAAAAUUACAUCUGCAUAUUUUCAAUUAAAAAAAAAAUUCAACACCCAUCUAGAUCUAGAGAGAGAGGGAGGGGGAUAGAAAGAGCAUACUUGCGAGUGUUAGUUGGAAUGAAGAAGACCACGUUGCUCCUGCCGUUCGCGGUGUUGAAUUUGAAGGUCUUGAUCACGAGGUUGUUGCUAAUGCAAAGCGACGCGACAGUUAGAUUUGCAGGAAAUGCAAAUAUGGAGACGGCGAAAAGUUGUGGAAGCAUCCGUAGGAGAUCUCACAAACCCCAUGUUGUUAUCAAUGUCCUCUACAUAGAAGAUGAAAUCUCGAAUAUAAUGUUGCCGGUAAAGCGAGGUGGCACAAGAAACGGAAUCGCCGGAGAAGCCGUGGAAGGUUAAUGGGGUGGACCGGUCGAAGUGGGAGGCAUGCUAUGAAAAAAAUUUAGGAUUUUUAAGUUUGUUUAAGGUGUGUUUCGUUUGAUAUAAAAAAGGGUGAAAACAAAAAUUCGGAUGAAAAAUAAUUUGCAGGUUCAAACUUAAAAAUUUUUUGUCGAUCCCUCUUUUAUUUUCCACGCGAGACCGACAAAAAACGAAAUGCGUAUAGCGAAAAUCGCGGGUCACACCUCAUCUCCUCACGAGCAUGUUUUCACGCGAUCCAUGAGGCCAUUUGGCCUCAUGGACCGCGUGAGAGGGAGGUCCAUGCUGGACCUCCGUGUGUGUGUGUGUGUAGGCCAUGGCUACUAUACUAUUAUGAGUAUUGGAGUCCUCGUACUCAUAAGUUGUUUUCGAUAAUAGAGCUUCCGAAUCGACGAUCCACUCCGUUAAAUAUGAUCUAGAGUAUUUGAAACUUCUAGAAAAUAAAUUUCGUAAAUUUUCGAAAUCAUAAUAAAGUCCAUCAAGUGGGCAUAAAAGGAACGGUCAAAAUCAAACGACGUUCUAAAAAAAGAUGAUUAGAUCCUUCAAUUCAAGAUCGGAGUUAUUGUUCUUUAUCUAUGUAGUGAAUAGAAUUUUCUAUCAAAAAUUCAACAAAUUCCGAUUCUUUAACACCGUUAAACUAGCAAGUAUCCCAUAUCGGCCGUUAAAAAUUGUCAAAUUUGUGACCUCUUGAUCGUAAGGUAAAUGAUGUCGAAAAAUUAUAAAAUUUGAUUUCUAGAAGUUUUAAAUGCUGUAAAUAACGUUUAACGGUGUGGAUCGUCGAUUCGAAAGCUCUAUCAUCAGAAACAACUUAUGAGUACGAGGGCGAUCGUACUCAUUAAUAGUAUAGUAGCCGGACCCUAUAUAUAUAUAUAUAUAUAAUUAUAUAUAUAUAUAUACUAUAUAUAUAUAUAUAUACACUUAUAAUUUACGCGGUCCACGAGGCCAUUUUGGCUUGGUGGACCGCGUGAGAGGGGAUCCAUGCUGGACGUCCCUCUCGUGUCUGUGUCUAUAUAUAUAUAUAUAUAUUAUAUAUAUAUAUAUAUAUAUAAUAUAUAUAUAUAUAUAUAUAUAUAUAUAUAAUUUGUUUAUUUUUUUAUUAUAAUAAUAUUUAUUUAUAUAUAAAGAUAAAUAUAAUAUUUUAUCUAUAAAUUUGUAAUAUUAUUAAUAUUUUGAAAUAUAUAAUAAUUAUAUAUUAUGUAAUAUAUUUAUUAUAAUUUAAAAUAUAUUUAAUCUAUAAAUAGAAAUCAUAAAAAUAAUAUAUAUAAGAUAAUAAUUAAUAUAUAUUAAUAAUAUAUAUAAUAAAAAAUAUAUUAAAUAAUUUUUUAUCUUUUUUUUUUCCUGCAAACCAAAUACUAAACAACUUAAAACUUUUUUUCCACUGAAAAUUUUUUUUCACCGACAUUUGUUUUGUCCACAGUUUUACGUGGAACCAAACGCACCCUUAGAAUUUUUUUCGUUUUGCUCCAGAGGAAAAGCUGAAAAGGCGCUAUAUGCCUUGCAGUACAAGAAAGUUUCAAUAAAAAAAUUAGGGCAACCUUUUGUGGCCAACUAUUAUUUGGCCAUACAUAUAGGAGUUAUUAGUGGAGAAAUUGUAAAACAACAACAAAUACAAAGCAAUUUUUAUGCACAUUUUUACCAUUGUAAUUUUUGUGGCCAAAUAUUAUAACUAGCCACAAAACACAUUUAGAAUUUAGGGUUAAUUUCACUAGUGCCCUUCAAAAGGUUGAUAAUAUCGUAAAUACCCUCACAAAAUCAGUAAUAUCAUAAUUACCUCACAAAAUAUAUAGAUUCUUUCAAAUCUACCCUUAUUUGUAAACUCUGUUAAAUUCAUGUGAGAUUAAAAACUAAUUACCAAUUUUGCCCUUCAUCCUUGAAAGGUAUUGGAGGUUAUAGUAAAAAAAUAUAUAUUCAACUUCCUCAACUAUAGACUAUUUUGAAAAAGAUCCCUAUUUUUUUUCCUUGUGUAAAAACCCCAUUCAAUUUUCAUUUUUUUGAUUUAAAUUAACAACGGUGAAUUUCUUGGAAUUUUCGAAGCCCUAGUCCGCGUGCUGCGGCUAUCUGUACGGCAAACGACGUUUUUGUAAAUAACUUUGCGCACACUCGUCGGAUUGUCGAACCAAGCGUUCCAACGCGUUUAAAAUACCCUCAAUCAGGUUUCUACAUAAUCAAAAUAGAUCAAAACCUCACUUGGGCAAAACCCCUCUUUGGGAUGCCCUAACAUGCCAUUUUUGCAUUUCCCCUAAAUUUAUCUUAUUACUAAGCAAAAGAAAGCUUAGAUACACAUGGAAAGCUCUCUAAUAAGGUUUCAAAGCUUUUAGAACCAUCCCUAGGGCAUCUACUUCGAGCCCUAGAGAUCCACCAUGAGAGGGGUCCAAGACAAUCAUGGAUUUCAUGGUUUCAAGGUCCCUAGAGGGUUUCCUCACUUGUAGAGAGAUCAAAACCCAAAAAUCUAAGGUCUAAACCCAAACUCUAAACUCAUUUUUGCAUUAAGGACUCACCUUUGCCCAAGCUCCACCCAGGCCUUCUUGUUGGAGAGCUUCUAGAGCCACCCAAGCCUCCAAAUCCACCUUCUCCAAGCUUUUCUCCUUCUUCUCCAAGCCCUAGCCCAAGCUUUUAGAGAGGGAAAGAGAGGAAAUGAGAGGGAGAGGAGAGGAGAUGGGUUUUGCUGUGAAAAUAGGAGAGGAAUAGGCCAAAUAACAUGUUGUGACAUUUGCAAUUAGGCCCCUCAACUUAAUUCUGUAGCAGACUUCACCCCUGCUGCCAGAGCCCCUGUGUACCGGUACACGGAUUUGUGUACCGGUACGGGCCUGCGCAGAAGCCCAAACCCGAGAGCAAGGUCGCUCGGUUUCGCAGCUUGUUUACCGAUACACGGGUCCCGUACCGGUACACCUUCGCGCAGACUCAAACCCGAGAGCAACCUGUGCUCGGGUCGCUUGCUGUACCGGUACAGCCAUCAGGCGUACCGGUACACAAUGCUCCAAAUUUCAGGUUUGGCUCCGAUUCGACUCUAUUUCGCGCCGAUCGAUGCCAAACUCAUACUAAUACCUCUUUAACUCAUUUUUACCCUUCCAAACGUGUUGGAAUGCAAAAUGGUACUCACCAAUACAUUUCUCUCGACACUUUAACCAAUUUGAUUAAAGUUCGAUUAUCGUUUUCGGGUUUCGAUACGUUACAUUCUCCACCCCUUAUAUUUAGUUUCGUCCGCGAAACUAGCUUAAUUUAACUUAAAUUCAUACCUCAGUUCAGCUCGUUGAAGAGAUGAGGGUAAUGUUCCCUCAUUGCGCUCUCGAGCUCCCAAGUAGCUUCCCGGUCGUCGUGAUUACACCAACGAAUUUUAACAUACGGAAUCUCGCGAUUUCGUAGCUUUCUUACUUCUCGAUCGAUAAUGUAUGCCGGGAACUCCUCAUAAGUCAUAUCCUCUUGAAUCUUGGACGGUUCAAACGAGAGGACAUGAUCGGGGUCGUGAACAUACUUGCGGAGAUUUGACACGUGAAACACAUCGUGCACUCCCGCAAGCCUUGGUGGUAACGCUACCUUGUACGCCACCGCGCCGACCCGUUCUAGUAUCUCGAACGGUCCAAGGUACCGGGGACUUAGCUUCCCACGGAUUCCGAACCGCUUAAUCCCUCGCAUUGGCGAAAUCUUUAGAAACACGUGGUCUCCAACGGCAAAUUCUAUAUCUUUCCUCCGCUUGUCGGCAUAGCUCUUUUGCCGGGAUUGCGCCGUAGCAAGCCUUUGGCGAACAAGACGGACUUUCUCCUCCGCCUCCCGCACUACAUCGGGGCCAAGAGCCGCCCUUUCGCCCACAUCGCUCCAAUGAAUUGGAGAGCGACACUUCUUUCCAUAAAGGGCCUCGAAUGGCGCCAUCGCGAUACUUUCUUGAUAACUGUUAUUGUACGCGAACUCCGCCAUCGGAAGAUGAUCAUGCCAACUGCCCUUAUAAUCCAGUACACACGCUCGAAGCAUAUCCUCAAGUAUUUGUAUUGUCCUCUCCGAUUGACCAUCGCUUUGAGGAUGAAAUGUCGUGCUAAAGUCGAGCCGCGUGCCCAAAGCCUCCUGUAGGCUCCUCCAAAAGUAAGAGGUGAACCUCGGGUCCCGAUCCGACACAAUAGACACGGGCACCUCAUGAAGUCUCACAAUCUCGUCAAUAUACACCUGAGCCAACUUGUCCCCCGACCAUAUAAUAUGAAUCGGUAGGAAAUGCGCCGACUUCGUCAACCGGUCCACGACAACCCAAAUUGCAUCGUGCCCACCUUGAGAUCGCGGCAACCCGGUCACGAAGUCCAUUGCAAUAUUUUCCCAUUUCCAAACGGGUAUAGGUAAACUUUGCAAUUUUUCCGCCAGAAACCGUUGCUCCGCUUUUACUUGUUGGCAAGUAAGACUUUGCGCAACAAAUUCCCCAAUGUCUUUCUUCAUGCCCGGCCACCAAUAGUGCAACAUCAAAUCUUGAUACAUUUUGGUGCCGCCGGGGUGUAUACUAUACGGGGAUUGGUGCGCCUCUUGCAUGAUCGCCCUACGGAUAUCCUUAUUCUUAGGCACACACCAACAAUUUCUAAACCGGAGUGCGCCGUCGGUCCCAAUGCCAAAAUCAUCGGCACUACCGCUCUCAACUUCCUCGCGCACCUUUUGGAGAUAUUCAUCUGAAGUUUGCAACUCUUUAAUCUUCUCCAAUAGCGUCGGUUGAACAACCAACGCCGCAAGUGUCGCCUGUACUCCCGGUGCUACCACCUCCAAUCCAAGCCGUUGCAUCUCCUUUUGUAGUAAUGGCUGGGGUGUAAUUGCCGAAGCCAGAUUUUCCCCCGAUUUUCUACUAAGUGCAUCGGCCACGACAUUCGCCUUCCCAGGGUGGUAUAGAAUAGUAACAUCAUAGUCUUUCAACAAUUCUAACCACCGCCGCUGUCGCAUUUUCAACUCCUUUUGGGUGAACAGGUACUUAAGGCUUUUGUGAUCCGUAUAGAUCUCACAGUGUUCCCCGUACAAAUAAUGCCUCCAUAGCUUUAGCGCAAAAAUAACCGCCGCUAGCUCAAGAUCAUGAAUAGGGUAGUUCUUCUCAUAAGUCUUCAAUUGGCGUGAAGCAUAAGCUAUAACCCGCCCAUUUUGCAUCAAGACACACCCGAGUCCCACGUAGGAAGCAUCACUAUAUACCACAAAGGUCUCCCCCGGCGUCGGUAGAGCAAGCACCGGGGUCGUGGUCAACCUUUCCUUUAACUCCUCGAAGCUUCGCUCGCAUUCGGGGCUCCAAACAUACUUCACCCCUUUGUGUGUAAGGCGCGUUAGUGGAGUAGUUAUUUUAGCAAACCCCUCCACGAACCGCCGGUAGUAGCCCGCUAGCCCUAGGAAACUGCGGACCUCCGAUACACUCGUCGGGCGAGGCCAAUCCUUAAUUGCCUCCACUUUCCCCGGAUCCACCGAGAUACCAUCGCCCGAAAUUACAUGACCAAGGAAAGUGACCUCCGAUAGCCAAAAGUCGCAUUUCUUCAACUUGGCAUAUAACUUCUCUUUUCGGAGUAUUUCCAACACGGUCCUCAAGUGCUCCUCGUGUUCUUCCUCGGUCCGAGAAUAUACCAAUACGUCGUCAAUGAAUACCACGACGCACCGGUCCAAUAGCGGACGGAAGACUCUAUUCAUUAAGUCCAUGAACGCCGCCGGGGCGUUAGUAAGCCCAAACGGCAUCACCGUGAACUCAUAAUGGCCAUACCGCGUACGGUACGCCGUCUUGUGCACAUCCUCGGGCCGUAUCUUCAACUGAUGAUACCCCGAUUGAAGAUCAAUCUUUGAAUAUACCCUUGACCCCUGCAGCUGAUCGAAUAAAUCAUCAAUCCUCGGCAGCGGGUACUUAUUCUUCACGGUGACCUUGUUCAACUCGCGGUAAUCCACGCAGAGUCGAAGUGUGCCGUCCUUCUUCUUAACGAAUAGCACCGGAGCUCCCCAAGGUGACACACUCGGCCUCACAAAGCCUUUGUCGAGCAAGUCUUGCAACUGUGCCUUAAGCUCUUUUAGCUCCGCCGGUGCCAUUCUAUACGGGGCCUUCGAGAUUGGCGCCGCCCCCGGGACCAAGUCAAUAACGAACUCGAUCUCCCGGUCCGGGGGCAAUCCCGGUAACUCCGCCGGAAAUACAUCCGGAAAUUCGCAUACCACCCGAAUGCCUCCCAAAUCCGGGUGUUCUCUUUGGGCUUCUACCAUUGUCGCCAAAUAGGCUACACAACCACCUUUUAUCAUUUUCCUCGCCCGUGCCGCCGACACGGUCGCCGCGAAAAGUGAGCUUUUAGCUGCCUGAUACACUAGCUCCUCUCGGUUAGGCUCACGAAACGUGAUCACCUUACUCUCACAAUCUAUCACGGCAUAAUAUUUGGAGAGCCAGUUGGUCCCCAAGAUCACGUCGAAACCCCACAUCCGGUUCAACACCAAUAGAUCAAUCGGCAUGACCCAGUCACCUAUCUGCACUGGGCACGCUACACAUUCUUCGUGAACAUGAAAAGUAUGCUUGACCGAAUUUACCGUCCAAUAGUCAUAAUGGUGCACGAUCUUAAUGCUAUGAGUCCUAACGAAUGAUGCAUCUAUGAAUGAAUGCGAUGCACCUGUGUCGAAUAAAGCUCUAGCUCUGGUGCCUCUGAUCGAGAUAAUACCUGCCACGAUGUCGUCGGGGACAUGAAUCGGCUCCUUCUGCACCUGAGUGGCAAAAACCCGCCCACUCGGUGCCCUCGAUGCCUCCGGCUGACGCGAAGAAGAUGAACGUCCAGCCGACAUAGCCAGUGGUAACCCCGCCUGCUGUCUCGGGGUAUAAGGAACUGAUGCCGAGGUAGGUGCAGAAGAACCCCAGCUUUGGCACUCCCGCGACAUGUGCCCGGGCUGGCCGCACCUGAAGCACUUUCCCUCGCGCUGCGGGCAUACCGGUGGCCGAUGAUCGCCACUGCAAAUGACACAACGGAACGGCCUACCACUCCUCGACUGCUGUCGGGGAUACUGAGGGGGUUUCUUUGCAUUUGACCGGCCCCCGGCACCGCUCACCGCCCGCUUCUUCCCCUUGUCCCUUAACUCCGCCAUUGCCUCGCGCUCCUCUCGCACGUGGGCGCUGCCGUGCUCCGCCCACAGGGCUCGAUCAAAGACCUCCGCAAAGGUCGUCAACUUGAGGAUUUGCACCCUGUCACGCCCCGGGACCGAUACCAAUUUGGCUCGACCCGAGCACGUCAAACAGACGCCGAACGGAUAGGGUUUCCCCUAUCCGUCCAAGGCUCAUCACGCGUACAAAUUCAAACAAGAAAUGCACUAGCGGAAACAUACACAAACGGCUUACACGAGGAUAAGCAAUAGCCAUUAGUGAAAGAAAGGAAAACUAAACAUUUACAAGUACUAUGAUUCAUUUUUGAUCAUAUACAUUGCAUCCAUUUACAUUCAUGAUUCUUUAUACUUCAUUACACAUUGCAUCAUUUCAUUCUUACAUCACACUUACCUCAAAAUAAGCUUUACAUUCCUUUCUCAACAUCACUAGUCAUCAAAUACAAAAGAUGAACAUAGGGUACUCUUCCAACAAAAUAUAAACCCAACUUUGGUGGCCUCUGACUAAGGCACGAUACCUUUACCUCGGUCGCUCGCCGGCUCGCUCGGUCCCGGCUCUGUGGAAAUAGUGGGGUGAGAACUACAACAAAGUUCCCAGUGGGCUCGGCCUCAACAUCACCGACUUUCCCUCUAGGACUAACUUAGGCAUAAUAGAAAGGAUAAGCUGAAAUAUAGUAACCAAUCUACAACAUGAUGCUAGUAUGCCUGAACAAUAAGCAAGGAAUAUGCUCAACAUUAACAUAUGCAGAUUAUGCAAGUUCUUUGUUCUUUUCACGUUACUCUUUGUUUUUUGUUCUUUGCUCUUUGUUCUUUAUUCUUUAUUCUUUAAUCUCAAGGCUAACCCGGGGGUUUCGCCACAUUAACUUGCUUCACAUUAAGUCCAUCAUCGCAGGAACUCACCCGCUAGGACCGUCCUUCGGGUUUACUCCAACCCGUGAUGCAUAACUCCGGAGCGCAUCGCCCGAGGGGGAGCGACCGCCCUCGAGCACGGAACUCAUAGCAAGUAUGAUCAUAUCCUUAACUCAAAGGAUUUAUAAGUUCAAUCUUGACUUUACACUAGCUCUAGUGUUCUUUCAUCACUUUUUGUUGCCACUCUAGCAAUCAUUGUUCUUUACCAUUCAUUACUCUUGCUAACUCUAGCAAUUAUAUUCUUUACAUUCUUUACUUUUGGCUACCUCUAGCACUUCAUGUUCUUUACUCCCCACAUUACUUUAACUUUAAACAUUGUCAUUUUCAUCAUUCUUUACAUUACAUUGGUUCUUUACCUCACACUAUCUCUAGUGUCAUUUCACUUUAACUUUAUCGAAUGCCACUCGAUCUAUGUCAUUGUGUCACUCUGUUCUUUUGCUCACUUUGGGUGCUCACUUUUCUCUCAUGCAUACACAUAGGGUUUUCGACGUUUACAUAGUUCUCAUUCAUCAUAUUAUGCAAGUUGUACUCACAAUCAUGCAUCAUUACAUUUUCAUCAUUACUUUACCCUAAAAUGCAUGCAACAAUAUAUAUACACAUGCUCAAAUGAAUGACACAUUAGGCAUAGAGAGAAGUUCAAUGAGUUUGAGAAGCACCACCCACCUCGUAGGCUUUCAAAGGUGCUCCGACGAUUUUCUUGAGAUUUAUAGGCUCCUCGUUCUUCACCUGCGGCAAAACGAAGCCAACUUAGGCCAUUUUGCCCAUAUCUUUCUAUAAACUUUUCGUAACGUUAAUCCGAGCGCACCAACGCGUCGGAAAUACCCCCAAUUAGGUUUCUAGAGGGUCAAUUGCACUUAGAAAUCCCCAUGAGCAAAAGCCCCAAUUUGGUGCCCUAGCUCCAAUACAUAUAUCAAACCUAGGGUUUGAUCUCAAUGGGAAGCAAAAAGAGCUUCAUUAUCCUCUAAAAAGUCCAUUAGAACCAUCUUUAAACAAAUCAAAACCCUACUUAGGGUUUCACCAUGAGAGGUGAUGAAGCUCACGUCAAGCUUCACCAUUUUCAUGGUCUUGAUCUCUAAAAAAGCAAAAGAAAAGCUUCCAAUACUCUAAAAGUUCUAUAAAAACCAUCCUUGCUCUAAUCCAAACCCUAGUUUGGGAUUUAACAUGAGAAGGGGCAAAGCUUACCUCUAAGCUUGCUCCUUCCUUGCUCUAGAGAGGAAGAAGAUGAAGUUGCUUCACUCCAAUAGCUUCUUCUCCACUUUCUUCUUCUUCUUCUUCCUUCCUUUCCUUUGUUUUCUUCUCCUUCUUUGUCUUCUAGAGAGAGAGAGAGAGAGGGAUGAGUUUGGGUGUGAGGAAAUGAGAGGGAGAGGCUCUCUCAGCCCUAAACAUGACCCACAUAAUGCAUUUUUACAGAUAAGUCCCUCAGCUUUUAUCUCAUUACACUGCCCGAACUGGGCAGUUCGCGCAGCCGGGGGCCGGUCUCUCCUUCAGGGACCGGUUCCCGAAGGCUCUCCCCGCGCAGCCAGAGCUGUUGCGGGCAGGGCAACCGGUCUCUCUUUGGGGGACCAGUCUCUCGGGGACCGGUCUCUCAGGCAGGGACCGGUUCCCGAGAGCUGGUUUCUCAAGACUUAGCCGAUUUUUCGGCUGUUUCAAUUCAUACGCGUUCGGGGACCGGUCUCUCCCACCAGGGACCGGUCCCCGAGAGCUCAAAACUGCUGAAUGCAGAUUUUGAUUCUAUAGCUCUCGAAAACCUCCCGUAACUCGCUUUUAAUCAUUUCAACACCUUCGGACUUUCCGAAGUGUACCAUCCUCACUUUGGUCAAUUUGACUAAAGUUCGACAUCUUUAUUUUCCGAAUUUUCGGUAUAUUACAUUCUCCACCCCUUAAAAUAAUUUCGUCCGUGAAAUUACGCAUACCUUAACUCGGCGACUUAAACAUAUGCGGAUAUUCUCGCCGUAUGGUUUCUUUGAGCUCUCAAGUGGCUUCUCGCGCCGCGUGGUUGCUCCACUGGACUUUCACAUAAGGGAUUUUGCGACUCUGCAACUUCCUAACUUCUCGAUCGAGGAUGCACACCGGGUACUCCUCGUAUGACAUAUCCUUACGCAACUCCACGGGCUCGUACUCCAAUACAUGUGUCGAGUUGCGAAUAUACUUUCGGAGAUUGGACACAUGAAACACGUUGUGAACUCCCGCGAGUCUCGGUGGUAGUGCGAGCUUGUAUGCCACCGCACCCACACGUUCUAAUACCUCAAACGGUCCGACAUAACGGGGACUUAGCUUCCCACGGACCCCGAAUUGUUUGACUCCUCGCAUUGGCGAUACUCUCAAAAAUACACGGUCUCCAACCGCGAACUCUAAAUCCUUUCUCCUCUUGUCGGCAUAACUCUUUUGCUGAGAUUGCGCCGUCGCCAACCAUUGACGGGCAAGGCGAACUUUUUCUUCCGCCUCCCGCACCACAUCUGGGCCAAGAGUCGCCCUCUCGCCCACAUCGCUCCAAUGGAUAGGGGAACGACACUUGCGUCCAUAUAGUGCCUCAAAGGGCGCCAUUGCUAUACUUUCUUGAUAACUAUUAUUAUAGGCGAACUCCGCCAUCGGCAAGAAAUCAUGCCAUCCUCCUUUAUAAUCUAGUACUGUCACGCCCCGGGGUUCCUUUUAGUUUAAAACAUAGCGAAAAAGCGUCUGAAUUUUUUUUUUUUUUUCGAAAAGCCUGAUCCCAAAGUAUGCCAGAUCCGCCACAAACACAGGGAAUCCACUGUUCAUACGGACAGUCUCCCCUGUAUUUGCACGGCGUCGCACAAGUAUAAGAAGUCACCCAGGCACAACCACAACAAAUGAACAUACAAAUAACCAACCGUUAUAUAUAUAUUCAUACACUAUUCACCACAGAUUCACAUUUAUGCAUUCAACAUUUAAACAUAAAUCCACAUCUAUCAGUAAAAAUGUUUCUAACCACAGAAACAGAUUUUGAAAUACUACGAUGCAAAAACCACAUAAAACCUUUGAAAACUGUUUCCUACACGGAAACCUUUAUUCUUUAAAAACGCUACCACGAGGGGUAGAAAACCUUUCAUUUCAUAAAAUCCAGAAAUCCAUUUAUUACAUUCACGAAAAUCCAUAUUUUCGAAUGUAAACAAACACUGAACCACAUGAACCAACUAAACUAUACAUCAACCGAAGUAAGAAGGGUAAGAAACUAAACCGAAAUAACCUGGGUCGGAAGCUCUAUCGACCGCUACACGCGUACCUCACG
This 40356-nucleotide long non-coding RNA is filed under the name Ananas comosus (pineapple). RNAcentral's name for it is "long non-coding RNA (ACOM_LNC011977)". Lineage: Eukaryota; Viridiplantae; Streptophyta; Magnoliopsida; Poales; Bromeliaceae. The record is from RNAcentral.